CAGCCGCCGCGGUAAUACGGAGGGCGCGAGCGUUGUCCGGAUUUACUGGGCGUAAAGCGUGCGCAGGCGGCCCGUUAAGACAGGUGUGAAAUCCCUGGGCUCAACCUAGGAAUUGCGCUUGUGACUGGCGGGCUCGAGUACGGUAGAGGGGGGUGGAAUUCCUGGUGUAGCAGUGAAAUGCGUAGAGAUCAGGAGGAACACCGAUGGCGAAGGCAGCCCCCUGGGCCUGUACUGACGCUCAUGCACGAAAGCGUGGGGAGCAAACAGGAUUAGAUACCCUGGUAGUCCACGCCCUAAACGAUGGGUACUAGCCGUUUGGUGCGCGAAAGCGCUGAGUGGCGAAGCUAACGCGUGAAGUACCCCGCCUGGGGAGUACGGCCGCAAGGUUGAAACUUAAAGGAAUUGGCGGG
Molecule: ribosomal RNA, 410 nt
Filed under: uncultured microorganism
Description: bacterial SSU rRNA
Rfam family: Bacterial small subunit ribosomal RNA
Source: RNAcentral